GGGUUGGAAAGAAGUCAUGAUAAAUCUUCAGAAAUUUUAUGAAAGAAUGCAAAAGAAAAAAUAUGAGAUUUGUGGUAUAUAAUAAAUAUCUAUUGGGAAUGCAAUUCCAAUUUCCCCUAGUAUGAGAUGAUCUAAAAGUUGUGAAAAAUAUCUUAAGACUUUGCUGCCUUUCAACCUUCUUAUGCACGUCACCUUUUCUAUCUUCUGACCCACCUCACUUGCUGAGCCUUCCAUACCUACUACCAUCAUGCUAGCCUCUAGGUAGGUACUUAAAAUCUGUAGUGCCUCACUCAAGUCCAACUGCCCCAAUAUCUGUAUUACCCUUUACUCUAAAC
Molecule: long non-coding RNA, 335 nt
Filed under: Homo sapiens (human)
Lineage: Eukaryota; Metazoa; Chordata; Mammalia; Primates; Hominidae
Description: non-protein coding lnc-ARHGAP15-10:1
Source: RNAcentral